This 464-nucleotide ribosomal RNA is filed under the name uncultured bacterium. RNAcentral describes it as "partial 16S ribosomal RNA". It matches the Rfam family "Bacterial small subunit ribosomal RNA", at positions 28 to 507 of the family's 1533-position model. The record is from RNAcentral.
GACGAACGCUGGCGGCGUGCUUAACACAUGCAAGUCGAACGGAAAGGCCCUGCUUGCAGGGUACUCGAGUGGCGAACGGGUGAGUAACACGUGGGUGAUCUGCCCUGCACUUCGGGAUAAGCCUGGGAAACUGGGUCUAAUACCGGAUAGGAGCCAUUUUUAGUGUGAUGGUUGGAAAGUUUUUUCGGUGUAGGAUGAGCUCGCGGCCUAUCAGCUUGUUGGUGGGGUAAUGGCCUACCAAGGCGGCGACGGGUAGCCGGCCUGAGAGGGUGGACGGCCACAUUGGGACUGAGAUACGGCCCAGACUCCUACGGGAGGCAGCAGUGGGGAGUAUUGCACAAUGGGCGCAAGCCUGAUGCAGCGACGCCGCGUGGGGGAUGACGGCCUUCGGGUUGUAAACUCCUUUCGCUAGGGACGAAGCUUUUGUGACGGUACCUAGAUAAGAAGCACCGGCUAACUACGUG